AACCUGCCCAAGAGAUCGGGAUAACACCUGGAAACAGAUGCUAAUACCGGAUAACAACAGAUGAUGCCUAUCAACUGUUUAAAAGAUGGUUCUGCUAUCACUCUUGGAUGGACCUGCGGUGCAUUAGCUAGUUGGUAGGGUAACGGCCUACCAAGGCGAUGAUGCAUAGCCGAGUUGAGAGACUGAUCGGCCACAUUGGGACUGAGACACGGCCCAAACUCCUACGGGAGGCAGUAGCG
This 239-nucleotide ribosomal RNA is filed under the name uncultured Lactobacillus sp. Its description in RNAcentral is "partial 16S ribosomal RNA". It matches the Rfam family "Bacterial small subunit ribosomal RNA", at positions 123 to 356 of the family's 1533-position model. Lineage: Bacteria; Bacillati; Bacillota; Bacilli; Lactobacillales; Lactobacillaceae. The record is from RNAcentral.